This 382-nucleotide ribosomal RNA is filed under the name uncultured bacterium. Its description in RNAcentral is "bacterial SSU rRNA". It matches the Rfam family "Bacterial small subunit ribosomal RNA", at positions 29 to 416 of the family's 1533-position model. The record is from RNAcentral.
AGCGAACGUUUGCGGCGGGCCUAACACAUGCAAGUCGAACGCACUAGCAAUAGUGAGUGGCGCACGGGUGCGUAACACGUGGGUAAUCAACCCUUCAGCUUGGGAUAACGACUUGAAAGGGUCGCUAAUACCGGAUACGGCGCGGGAGGCUUCGGCUUCUCACGAGAAAGCCUCGCAAGGGGCACUGAAGACGAGCCUGCGGCCCAUCAGCUAGUUGGUGAGGUAAGAGCUCACCAAGGCGAAGACGGGUAGCUGGUCUGAGAGAAUGAUCAGCCACACUGGAACUGAGACACGGUCCAGACUCCUACGGGAGGCAGCAGUGGGGAAUAUUGCGCAAUGGGCGAAAGCCUGACGCAGCCACGCCGCGUGAGCGAUGAAGGCC